Long non-coding RNA from Glycine soja, 616 nucleotides. RefSeq lists it as uncharacterized. The transcript is spliced from 2 exons. The record is from RefSeq and is a predicted model, not a curated record. Lineage: Eukaryota; Viridiplantae; Streptophyta; Magnoliopsida; Fabales; Fabaceae.
ACCUAAAUUGGUGUCCUACAGAUUCGCUUGUUUCUCAGCAAAACGUAGUAUAUUGCCGUUCUUUCUUUAUGCUUGGUUGGUGAGGAAUUCUACCGUGGGAAAGUGAAUUUAGAUCAUUGGAAGUUUGAUCCAAGCGAGGGUCCACACUCCGAUCUCUUUGUUUAUUACUGCAAACAUUGCAAUGGAGUGUGCUCUGUUCGUAUGCUAUCGGGCGGAACAAGAAUUGGAGUUAGCUUCUUUGAAGCUAUUGAAGUUGAAGAUCGUGCUCUUCGAGUCACUGUUGCUGCUCCUUCUGCCCGUGGAGAGUUUUGGGUUUGAGGAUGGAAUAACAAGUCAAAGCUGCUUGUGCUAGACAAGUUUCCAUGGUGUCUUUCCAGAGCAAGUCAGGUUGAAUCUCAUUUUUUUUCUGUAAAAAUGAGUUUGCGGUUUAAAUUUCAGCUCUACUGUUGCUUACUUAGAUACAAACCAGGGCAAUACGUUGCAAUUGAAAAUCUUACCUCCUAUGAUCAUGUACUAUAUAACACAUGCCCACAUCUGGCUCAUGGGUAAAAUAACUCAACCUUGAGUUUUAAGCCGUUAUUAGUUUUUUCAAUUAUAAAAGACCGCACUUUUAUAA